AUCUAAACCCUUCCCAGAGUAUCAAUUGGAGGGCAAGUCUGGUGCCAGCAGCCGCGGUAAUUCCAGCUCCAAUAGCGUAUAUUAAAGUUGUUGCAGUUAAGAAGCUCGUAGUUGAAUUUCUGCCUUGUCAUUAAUCUCGCUUCCGAGCGUUUUUUUAUUGGCUUGGCAUCUUCUGGAUUUGGUGCCUUCGGGUACUAUUUUCCAGGAUUUACUUUGAGAAAACUAGAGUGUUUCAAACAGGCAUUCGCCUUGAAUACUACAGCAUGGAAUAAUGAAGUAGGACUUUGGUUC
This 291-nucleotide ribosomal RNA is filed under the name Babesia microti. RNAcentral describes it as "partial 18S ribosomal RNA". It matches the Rfam family "Eukaryotic small subunit ribosomal RNA", at positions 523 to 836 of the family's 1831-position model. Lineage: Eukaryota; Apicomplexa; Aconoidasida; Piroplasmida; Babesiidae. The record is from RNAcentral.